This is a long non-coding RNA of Ornithorhynchus anatinus (platypus), 859 nucleotides long. RefSeq lists it as uncharacterized. The record is from RefSeq and is a predicted model, not a curated record. The transcript is spliced from 3 exons. Lineage: Eukaryota; Metazoa; Chordata; Mammalia; Monotremata; Ornithorhynchidae.
GAGUUGGCGUUAACUAGCCCACGGCUAGAACUAUGUCCACGGACAGUAAAUCCCACCGCCUUUGAUUCCUUUAAAUGCAAUAACAAGAACAAUCUGGGAGGAUUGUUUGAAAAGGCCCAUUUGUGUCCUCCCCCAUCCCAUGAAAAUGCAAUAAGAAAAAUGUCCAUGAAGAACUUCACUGACAAAAAGGUAUACCUCAGCUAUUAGCAUGUGCCCUGGGAGUGGAGAGAAGAAGCUGGAGAUGAGAGAAUAAGCUGGAGAUCAUAGUGUUUCAGGUUCGAUACCACUGCAUGUGCCUGCUUCCAGACUGCCUUGAGAUCCUCCGAUAGAUGCGAAAUGGAUUCCUGGGACCGGUCCAGUAAAGACCUCCCCCAUCUCCGGGCAUCGGACAACCCCGGGCACUGCUGAGAAAACUCCCCCAGGUCCAGAAGAAGAGACGGGCUUUGUGGGUGAGGGCCCUCUUCGCCAACCCCUGGGGAAACUGAGGAGGAAAUUGGGGCAGAGUGUGUGCUGGAAUCACAGGGAACAAGUCGGCUCCAGGGUGGCAGAGGCAGAGUAUGACAUAUGCUGAAUGGAGCCCACUGUCACUGUCACCGCCGAGCUUCCUUGCCAAUGACGGCUUUCAUCGAGGAUAAAGGGGAUGGGAUUCGAACACUUUCUCACAGUCUGUCUUGGUCGGGAAGGGAACUUGCUAUGGCGGUCACGCACAGAGGAGUUUAACUGCACUCCGGUGACCUCCUCGCCUGCAGGCUGGCCUUGGCUUCUGUCCCAGGUAGCCGAGAGGCCGGGCCUUAAACCGACUAGCUUCAUCCUCAGGAUGCAAGGACCUGGGACCCCUCUCUUCCCACUCCCUUCUGCG